Molecule: small RNA, 76 nt
Filed under: Xanthomonas sp. LMG 8989
Lineage: Bacteria; Pseudomonadati; Pseudomonadota; Gammaproteobacteria; Lysobacterales; Lysobacteraceae
Also listed under: 1 other name
Description: sX9 sRNA
Rfam family: Xanthomonas sRNA sX9
Source: RNAcentral
AUGAACCGCUUGUACACUGCGCUUCCGGCGCGCCGUCCCGCACCCGCUGGCUACCGCGCGCAACGUUGUGCUCGCC